Molecule: ribosomal RNA, 373 nt
Filed under: uncultured organism
Description: partial 16S ribosomal RNA
Rfam family: Bacterial small subunit ribosomal RNA
Source: RNAcentral
GUAGGUGGCAAGCGUUGUCCGGAAUUAUUGGGCGUAAAGCGCGCGCAGGCGGUUCUUUAAGUCUGAUGUGAAAGCCCACGGCUCAACCGUGGAGGGUCAUUGGAAACUGGAGAACUUGAGUACAGAAGAGGAAAGCGGAAUUCCACGUGUAGCGGUGAAAUGCGUAGAGAUGUGGAGGAACACCAGUGGCGAAGGCGGCUUUCUGGUCUGUAACUGACGCCGAGGCGCGAAAGCGUGGGGAGCAAACAGGGAUUAGAUACCCUGGUAGCCCACGCCGUAAACGAUGAGUGCUAAGUGUUAGGGGGGUUUCCGCCCCCUUAGUGCUGCAGCUAACGCAUUAAGCACUCCGCCUGGGGAUACGGCCGCAAGGCUG